Molecule: transfer RNA, 85 nt
Filed under: Felis catus (domestic cat)
Lineage: Eukaryota; Metazoa; Chordata; Mammalia; Carnivora; Felidae
Rfam family: tRNA
About the family: Transfer RNA (tRNA) molecules are approximately 80 nucleotides in length. Their secondary structure includes four short double-helical elements and three loops (D, anti-codon, and T loops).
Source: Rfam by way of RNAcentral
GCCUGGGUGGCUCAGUCGGUUGAGGGACUGACUUCGGCUCAGGUCAUGAUCUCACAGUUUGUGGGUUCAAGCCCCACGUCGGGCU